RNAcentral lists this small RNA (125 nucleotides) under Marmota monax (woodchuck). Lineage: Eukaryota; Metazoa; Chordata; Mammalia; Rodentia; Sciuridae. The record is from RNAcentral.
GCCAGGUGCGGUGGUGUACACCUGUAAACCUAGUGGCUCAGGAGGCUGAGACAGGAGGAUCUCGAGUUCAAAGCCAGUCUUAGCAAUGACAAGGUACUAAGCAACUCAGUGAGACCCUGUCUCUA